CUUGGAAGAACUACAACCAGGAAGAGCGCUAUCUGCUGGGCUGAGAAGACCCUGGGAGCCAAACAAAGGGUUUUGCUGGACAUAAUCCAAAACCAAAAGGACCUCAACCCACCUUUGUGAUGUGUGUUCUGAGACCAGCUUCGAUGCCUGGACGCUGUUAUCCCAGGCCCAAGCUGUGACAAAUAAGAUGGGUCAUACUAUGCGCUGUGACACUUUGAUGGGGAAAAUACACAACGUGAAGAAAAAACAUAAUGCCAACUUUAGGGAAGGAAUGGGGGAUUUGCUGAUGGUAAGAAGCCC
This is a long non-coding RNA of Mauremys mutica (yellowpond turtle), 300 nucleotides long. RefSeq lists it as uncharacterized. The transcript has 3 exons. The record is from RefSeq and is a predicted model, not a curated record. Lineage: Eukaryota; Metazoa; Chordata; Testudines; Geoemydidae.